Molecule: ribosomal RNA, 464 nt
Filed under: uncultured bacterium
Lineage: Bacteria
Description: partial 16S ribosomal RNA
Rfam family: Bacterial small subunit ribosomal RNA
Source: RNAcentral
GACGAAUGCUGGCGGCGUGCUUAACACAUGCAAGUCGAACGGAAAGGCCCUGCUUGCAGGGUACUCGAGUGGCGAACGGGUGAGUAACACGUGGGUGAUCUGCCCUGCACUUCGGGAUAAGCCUGGGAAACUGGGUCUAAUACCGGAUAGGAGCCAUUUUUAGUGUGAUGGUUGGAAAGUUUUUUCGGUGUAGGAUGAGCUCGCGGCCUAUCAGCUUGUUGGUGGGGUAAUGGCCUACCAAGGCGGCGACGGGUAGCCGGCCUGAGAGGGUGGACGGCCACAUUGGGACUGAGAUACGGCCCAGACUCCUACGGGAGGCAGCAGUGGGGAAUAUUGCACAAUGGGCGCAAGCCUGAUGCAGCGACGCCGCGUGGGGGAUGACGGCCUUCGGGUUGUAAACUCCUUUCGCUAGGGACGAAGCUUUUGUGACGGUACCUAGAGAAGAAGCACCGGCUAACUACGUG